AAGACUAUACUUUCAGGGAUCAUUUCUAUAAUUUGUUACUAGAGAAGUUUCUCUGAAUGUGUAGAGCACCAGAACCCAUGAGGAAGAGACUUAGUGAA
Small nucleolar RNA from Callithrix jacchus (white-tufted-ear marmoset), 98 nucleotides. Its record names the gene U3. It matches the Rfam family "Small nucleolar RNA U3". Rfam says of the family: Small nucleolar RNAs (snoRNAs) are involved in the processing and modification of rRNA in the nucleolus. There are two main classes of snoRNAs: the box C/D class, and the box H/ACA class. Lineage: Eukaryota; Metazoa; Chordata; Mammalia; Primates; Cebidae. The record is from Ensembl.